AUGAUCCUCCCCUUUACUUCCAGGCCAGGGGAGGCCAGCAGCACAACCUGCAGGGUGACAAUGCUUAGGAUUGUGGUUACCAAACCUGAGGUGAUCUUCAAGUUGGAGCAGAGAACACAGCCAUGGAUGCUAGGAGAAGCCCUAAAUCAGAGACUUCCAGUUCUUUUUCAGAACACGUAUGGAGAGGAGUCUUGGGGACUAAGUCUAAACAUGAACAAGGCCAUGGACAGCCUUCAAGGACAAAAAGAGAGGGAUGCUCCCUAGCUACACAUGAACUUUCUCUGAAUCUUGGCUUUAUAAUUUUAAUUAAAAUAUACUAAUGGAGACAAGUUUGAAUAAAAAUGAUUCAUAUAUAAUCUGUAUUUGUAUC
This 370-nucleotide long non-coding RNA is filed under the name Oryctolagus cuniculus (rabbit). RNAcentral describes it as "lncRNA (ENSOCUG00000031874.1)". Lineage: Eukaryota; Metazoa; Chordata; Mammalia; Lagomorpha; Leporidae. The record is from RNAcentral.